This 459-nucleotide ribosomal RNA is filed under the name uncultured bacterium. RNAcentral's name for it is "partial 16S ribosomal RNA". It matches the Rfam family "Bacterial small subunit ribosomal RNA", at positions 338 to 795 of the family's 1533-position model. The record is from RNAcentral.
CCUACGGUGGGCAGCAGUGAGGAAUAUUGGUCAAUGGGCGCGAGCCUGAACCAGCCAAGUCGCGUGAGGGAAGACGGUCCUAUGGAUUGUAACCCUCUUUUGUCGGGGAGCAAAAGACGCCACGCGUGGCGUUCCGAGCGUACCCGAAGAAAAAGCAUCGGCUAACUCCGUGCCAGCAGCAGCGGUAAUACGGAGGAUGCGAGCGUUAUCCGGAUUUAUUGGGGUUAAAGGGUGCGCAGGCGGAAGAUCAAGGCAGCGGUAAAAUUGAGAGGCUCAACCUCUUCGAGCCGUUGAAACUGGUUGUCUUGAGUGAGUGAGAAGUAGGCGGAAUGCGUGGUGUAGCGGUGAAAUGCAUAGAGAUCACGCAGAACUCCGAUUGCGAAGGCAGCAUACCGGCGCGCAACUGACGCUCAUGCACGAAAGUGUGGGUAUCGAACAGGAUUAGAUACCCUUGUAGUC